Non-coding RNA from Podarcis lilfordi (Lilford's wall lizard), 72 nucleotides. Lineage: Eukaryota; Metazoa; Chordata; Lepidosauria; Squamata; Lacertidae. The record is from the annotation of a GenBank genome assembly.
AGGGCUGUAGCUCAGUGGUAGGGCAUCUGCUUUGCAUGCAGAAGGUUCCAUAUUCAGUCCCUGGCACCUCCA